Molecule: transfer RNA, 77 nt
Filed under: Rhodoluna sp.
Lineage: Bacteria; Bacillati; Actinomycetota; Actinomycetes; Micrococcales; Microbacteriaceae
Also listed under: 2 other names
Description: tRNA-Pro
Rfam family: tRNA
About the family: Transfer RNA (tRNA) molecules are approximately 80 nucleotides in length. Their secondary structure includes four short double-helical elements and three loops (D, anti-codon, and T loops).
Source: RNAcentral
CGGGAUGUGGCGAAAUUUGGUAUCGCACCUGUUUUGGGAACAGGGGGCUGCAGGUUCAAAUCCUGUCAUCCCGACCA